CGACCGUCCACAGUGGCUCACUGUCAAGUCACGUUCACAGUGCUACGUCGACAAGAUAAGAGAAGAAUUGGAGAGCAGAUCAUGUACUAUUAGAACAAGGUGUGCUGUGGAAUCAGUUUUUAGUACUGAUGCAGGAUGCUGUGUGGU
This is a long non-coding RNA of Zingiber officinale, 147 nucleotides long. RefSeq lists it as uncharacterized. The transcript is spliced from 3 exons. Lineage: Eukaryota; Viridiplantae; Streptophyta; Magnoliopsida; Zingiberales; Zingiberaceae. The record is from RefSeq and is a predicted model, not a curated record.